RNAcentral lists this ribosomal RNA (345 nucleotides) under uncultured Glomeromycotina. Its description in RNAcentral is "SSU rRNA". It matches the Rfam family "Eukaryotic small subunit ribosomal RNA", at positions 569 to 921 of the family's 1831-position model. Lineage: Eukaryota; Fungi; Glomeromycota. The record is from RNAcentral.
AGCAGCCGCGGUAAUUCCAGCUCCAAUAGCGUAUAUUAAAGUUGUUGCAGUUAAAAGCUCGUAGUUGAAUUUCGGGAUCAGUACGCUGGUCGUGCCUUCGGUAUGAACUGGUGUCACUGGUUCCUCCCUUCUGAAGAACCGUUAUGCCAUUAAGUUGGUGUGGCGGGGAAUCAGGACUGUUACUUUGAAAAAUUGAGUGUUUAAAGCAGGCUCGCGCUUGAAUACAUUAGCAUGGAAUAAUGAAAUAGGACGUUUGAUCCUACUUUGUUGGUUUCUAGGAUCGACGUAAUGAUUAAUAGGGAUAGUUGGGGGCAUUAGUAUUCAAUUUGCAGAGGUGAAAUUCUU